GGGAAUAUUGCACAAUGGGGGGAACCCUGAUGCAGCGACGCCGCGUGGGUGAAGGAGCACCUCGGUGCGUAAAGCCCUAUCGGCAGGGAAGAAACAGACGGUACCUGACUAAGAAGCCCCGGCUAACUACGUGCCAGCAGCCGCGGUAAUACGUAGGGGGCAAGCGUUAUCCGGAAUUACUGGGUGUAAAGGGAGCGUAGACGGUGAUGUAAGUCUGGAGUGAAAGGCGGGGGCCCAACCCCCGGACUGCUCUGGAAACUAUGUGACUGGAGUGCAGGAGAGGUGAGCGGAAUUCCUAGUGUAGCGGUGAAAUGCGUAGAUAUUAGGAGGAACACCAGUGGCGAAGGCGGCUCACUGGACUGUAACUGACGUUGAGGCUCGAAAGCGUGGGGAGCAAACAGG
Molecule: ribosomal RNA, 402 nt
Filed under: uncultured bacterium
Lineage: Bacteria
Description: bacterial SSU rRNA
Rfam family: Bacterial small subunit ribosomal RNA
Source: RNAcentral